Molecule: ribosomal RNA, 408 nt
Filed under: uncultured bacterium
Lineage: Bacteria
Description: bacterial SSU rRNA
Rfam family: Bacterial small subunit ribosomal RNA
Source: RNAcentral
UCGAGAAUCUUCGGCAAUGAGCGCAAGCUUGACCGAGCGACGCCGCGUGCGGGAUGAAGGCCUUCGGGUUGUAAACCGCUUUGGUCCGAAAGAAAGGGCAACUUGAUCGAUCGGAGAAACAAGGACGGGCUAAGUUCGUGCCAGCAGCCGCGGUAAGACGAACCGUCCAAACGUUAUUCGGAAUUACUGGGCUUAAAGGGCGCGUAGGCGGCCGAGCGGGUCACGGGUGAAAUCCUUCAGCUUAACUGGAGAACUGCCCUUGAUACCACUGCGGCUCGAGGAAGGAAGGGGCAAUCGGAACUGUCGGUGGAGCGGUGAAAUGCGUUGAUAUCGACAGGAACGCCGGUGGCGAAAGCGGAUUGCUGGUCCUUUUCUGACGCUGAGGCGCGAAAGCCAGGGGAGCAAACG